RNAcentral lists this ribosomal RNA (613 nucleotides) under uncultured bacterium. Its description in RNAcentral is "bacterial SSU rRNA". The stretch from base 1 to 523 matches the Rfam family "Bacterial small subunit ribosomal RNA", at positions 338 to 873 of the family's 1533-position model. The record is from RNAcentral.
CCUACGGGAGGCAGCAGUGGGGAAUAUUGGACAAUGGGCGAAAGCCUGAUCCAGCAAUGCCGCGUGAGUGAUGAAGGCCUUCGGGUCGUAAAGCUCUUUUACCAGGGAUGAUAAUGACAGUACCUGGAGAAUAAGCUCCGGCUAACUCCGUGCCAGCAGCCGCGGUAAUACGGAGGGAGCUAGCGUUGUUCGGAAUUACUGGGCGUAAAGAGUACGUAGGCGGUUAUUCAAGUCAGAGGUGAAAGCCCGGGGCUCAACCCCGGAACUGCCUUUGAAACUAGAUAACUAGAGUCUUGGAGAGGUUAGUGGAAUUCCGAGUGUAGAGGUGAAAUUCGUAGAUAUUCGGAAGAACACCAGUGGCGAAGGCGACUAACUGGACAAGUACUGACGCUGAGGUACGAAAGCGUGGGGAGCAAACAGGAUUAGAUACCCUGGUAGUCCACGCCGUAAACGAUGAUAACUAGUUGUUCGGUCACUUGGUGUACGUGUAGUGACGCGAGACUACGACAUUAAGUUAUCCGUCCGUCGGGUAGGUACGGUCGCGAGAAUUAAACUAACAAUAGUAAUUAGUACGGCGUGAGACGUGCCGACGGACGACGACGAGGGAGGUAGG